This 34-nucleotide ribosomal RNA is filed under the name Teucrium capitatum. RNAcentral's name for it is "partial 28S ribosomal RNA". The record is from RNAcentral. Lineage: Eukaryota; Viridiplantae; Streptophyta; Magnoliopsida; Lamiales; Lamiaceae.
AGGUCAGGCGGGACUACCCGCUGAGMUUAAAAGG